CCACAGGGAUCAGUCCUGUGAAUUCAGGCAAAUAUUGAUCAAAGCUAUGCACUGUUUUAUCAGAUCGUUCUAUAAACUACUGUAAUGUUGUGUUUGUUACAGUGAGUUAUUUGAGAGAGAUUUUAGUGUAAUACGAACUUAUGUGCAUAUGGUUAACAAACGUUGAAUUUCUUGUCUCAAUAAUUUGUUAUGCCCCAAAAGGGCUGCAUUAUAACAAUUGCAAUGUCUUGGCCGUAUUAUCAUCUGAAAUUCCUUUCUUGGGCAUUACUUUGCCAUAUAUAAAUGGAUUUUUGAAUCACUGGGCACAUAUCUAUACCUUGAUUAGAGAAUGUUUUGCAUGCUACAAUAGACCCUUUCAGUAAUUGUCGGUUUUUAAUUAUCUCCCUUGUGUGACGUCAUGCGAUGAUAAUCGAGUGUAUCGAUUGUAAACGAGAACAGAAAUCUAAUUAGAAAAUGUUUAUUUCAACGAUGUAAAUGGACUGAACAUAUGCGAGAAAAGAUUUGUACUUAACUAAUUGUUAAUAAUAUAUUAUUUUUAUGCCCCCCUUCGAAGAAGAGGGGGUAUAUUGCUUUGCUCAUGUCGGUCUGUCGGUCAUUCUGUCGGUCCGUCCACCAGGUGGUUGUCAGACGAUAACUCAAGAACGCUUGGGCCUAGGAUCAUGAAACUUCAUAGGUACAUUGAUCAUGACUCGCAGAUGACCCCUAUUGAUUUUGAGGUCACUGGGUCAAAGGUCAAGGUCACGGUGACCUGAAAUAGUAAAAUGGUUUUUGAAUGAUAACUCAAGAACGCAUAGGCCUAGGAUCAUGAAACUUCAUGGGUAAAUUGAUCAUGACUCGCAGAUGACCCCUAUUGAUUUUGAGGUCACUAGGUCAAAGGUCAAGGUCACGGUGACCUGAAAUAGUAAAAUGGUUUUUGAAUCAUAACUCAAUAACGCAUACGCCUAGGAUCAUGAAACUUCAUGGGUAGAUUGAUCAUGCCUCGCAGAUGACCCCUAUUGAUUUUGAGGUCACUAGGUCAAGGUCACGGUGACCCGAAAUAGUAAAAUGGUUUUCGGAUGAUAACUCAAGAACGCAUACACCUAGGAUCAUGAAACUUCAUAGGUAGAUUGAUCAUGACUUGCAGAUGACCCCUAUUGAUUUUGAGGUCACAAGGUCAAAGGUCAAGGUCACGGUGACCCGAAAUAGUAAAAUGAUUUUCGGAUGAUUACUCAAGAACGCUUUUGCCUAGGAUCAUGACACUUCAUAGGUACAUUAAUCGUGACCCGCAGAUGACCCCUAUUGAUUUUCAGGUCACUAGGUCAAAGGUCAAGGUCACAGUGACAAAUAUCGUAUUCACACAAUGGCUGCCACUACAACGGACAGCCCAUAUGGGGGGCAUGCAUGUUUUACAAACAGCACUUGUCUUAAUGAAUUUAAAUGAAAUUUUGAUAAUUGGUUUGUACUGCUGAUACAGCAGCGGUAUUUUUCAUUAGAGAACAUGAUCGGAAGACUAAAUACUGAAAAUCCCACAAAACAAACCAACUAACUAAGCUGUAUUCUUUCUUAUAGUAAGACUUUUACAAAUGAUGUUUAAAAAAUAAUGAAACAUAUAUUUAUUUGAUCACAAUUAUAAGUGGUGUGGCUAUUGUUGUUGUUCAUCAGCGAUCGAACGUGUAAGAGAUGCAUUUAAUCAAAUAAAACAAAGCCCUAAAACAACGGAAUACAUAACAAUUGUUAAAUUUUAUCAUUUUCUUUUCCAUUGAAUGGAUUUUUGUUUUGUUUACAUUGAUUGACAAUAUUAAUAAAUGUUAGCAUACAUACGGAAAAGAACUCUGCAUAUUAUGCAAAUUGAACUGUCUUUGCAUGUAUAUUGAAAUCUCUUUACUAAUGAUAAGGUGAAAUACAAAUCUAGCAUUUUAUGAUCAAUAAAUCUUUAUAUUUAAUUUAUUUAACGCAACUAUUGUUUACCCUGUUGCAAUUGCUUGUUUUCAUGAUGGUGUUUUGUAUACUGAAAUAACCUACUUAAAUCUAUACACGUAAUAGCGGAGUUUACAUUUGCCGGUACCCGUUAAAUACCUCAAUUGCGUAGCAGUUAAAUUGCACAAUAUUUUUAAUUUAUUUAUAGUUUUUAAACACUGUAUUAUUAUGAUUAAACUGGCUUAUAUAUAUAUAUAUAUUAGGGAUGGCAAAAUUAUUCGAAUAUUCGAUUGAAUGGUCAGCAUUCGAAUAAUAAAAAUGAUAUUCGCAUAUUCGCAUUUUUUUUCCAAACGUAAUUUCACCAAUAUUUAAUGACCUGCGAACCGCUUACUAAAAUGCAACCGAAAUCACCUGGGAGUAACAUGUUUGACGUGACGUUCUUCGUGUCAAACUGAUAACGCGGCCUGUAUCAGUGUUGAUUGCGCAAUGCAAUAUACACGCUCUAAGAAAGGCCCCGACUGUUGUUUGCCAAUGGGGUGCCAAUUAACGGUUUCAAUUGACUGGCGAAUAAUAAUUAAUUUUUGUGAUCACAGUAUGUACAGCCAUUAAAAUGUGUGAAUUACUCAAAUCGCGCAAUGCAAUAUACUUACUAUGAGAAAGGGCCCGAACUGUUGUCUGUCAAUUAGGUACCAAUUAAGGGCUUCAAUUUACUGGGGAAUAGUAAUUUAGUUUUUGUGAUCACAGUUUGAACAGACAUUUAAAUAUGUGAAUUACUCAAAAGUAACAGAUGAUAUAAAGUAAACAAUCAUCAAGGAAUCAUAAUUCAAAUCUGAAAAUGCCACCAGCCCUUUCUGCAGUAUGGAAUACUUUACACGGUCUGUGGAUAAGAAGACCGCAACGUGUAAUGUGUGUAAGUUUUACAUAUGUGCGGUCUGCUACAAAUCUGGAAUCAUUAAAAAAUAUAAUUCUAUGACACGAUGUUUUUCAUUCUAUUUGUGCCCGAUCACAGUAUCGGUCAUAGUAUUAGUCGACAGCGAUACAAUUAUUCGAUAGCAACGUUAAUAAACAGCCUCGUAUUUAGCAAACGGAUAUAACUUACAAACCAAUGGAAAUUAACACAUAACAAGGAAAAAUCAAUCCAGCCGUUUUAUGCGAAUAUUCGAAUAUUCGAUUGAAUGAAUUUGCGAACAUUCGAAUACCGAUAUUGGUAUUCGAUGCCAUCCCUAAUA
This is a long non-coding RNA of Dreissena polymorpha, 3125 nucleotides long. RefSeq lists it as uncharacterized. The transcript is spliced from 2 exons. The record is from RefSeq and is a predicted model, not a curated record. NCBI's taxonomy places the organism in Eukaryota, Metazoa, Mollusca, Bivalvia, Myida, Dreissenidae.